This is a long non-coding RNA of Arachis stenosperma, 2042 nucleotides long. RefSeq lists it as uncharacterized. The transcript is spliced from 3 exons. The record is from RefSeq and is a predicted model, not a curated record. NCBI's taxonomy places the organism in Eukaryota, Viridiplantae, Streptophyta, Magnoliopsida, Fabales, Fabaceae.
UUAACCCUAAAGAAGUCGUUGCGCCCAACAGCUGCCCUUUGUCUUCAUCACUGCCGAUGAGGACCGUCGCACUUAGCUGCCCUCUCUCCGAUGAGUACCCUCGCACCCAAAUGCCCUCUCUCCUAGCCCUUCAUCUUCAUCACUAUUGAGAACUCAUUCACCCAGCCCUCUCCCUGUCGCACCUAGCUCCUUCACAACCCUUUUUCACACCAACCCUCGCACUAUCAACGCAAGCUGUGUCGUUGGAUUCGCAACUCUAUAUCGGCGCUCCUCCAUCUGCGCACCGUGCAUUGGCGUGCCCUCAUCCCUCAGCAGUAUCUCUCUCGCAAACCCUAAAAUGUUGCCUCAAUCAUUUUUGCGUCUCCCUCAAUCGGUGCUCAACCCUCACCUUAAACACUACAAGGCUUUUAGUAGUUGUCUUUUCGCUGCUACUGCUGCCACCUCUCUUGGUUUGCUUCCGUUGUGGUACUGCAGCUGCUACAGUGGCUUUUGGUAGUUGUCUUUUUGCUGCUGUUGCCACAACCACCUCUCUUGGUUUGCUUCCACUGUGGUACUGCUGUUGCUAUUGGGGUAUGGAUUUAGCUUCUACGGUGCUAGUUGGCUAUCUUAAUUUUAGUUUAAUUUUAAAAACUCCGACAGCUUCUAUAGAGGCCACUAUGCUAAUGAAAUCAAAAGUGGAAUUUGUUUUAAUUACUCUAUCAUUGGAGGUCAUGUGAUCGUGGUUCUCUAUGUCCUAACCUUGUAUAAACUACACUCGUAUGUUAUAUAGUCUUAAUAAGUGGUUGGACAAUUUUUGCUUCCAAAACCCUUACUAAUGUAUAAUGUUUGAAACAAGGAUACCCAUUGUUGGUUGGAUCCUUGAAUUGCUUUUAUCAUUAACCAUUUUUGUUAUCAAUUUGCUAAACUUUAAAACAACAUCCAUUAAUUUGUUAUUCAUGUUAUGUGUACUGCUUAAGUGCUUUCCCGAGGCACUCAUUUCAGGGCCUUCUUUAAGAAUCGCUAAAAUUCAAUUUUCUUUGUUAUUUUUUGUUAGUUGUCUUUAAAGUAUUUUGGAGGCUGGAAAAAUAUUGUCUCUUAAUUAGUUAAAUAGGAAGCUAGAUUUGCAGUUAGUGAGACUAACAAUAAGGACUUUAGAUUGGGAACUUAGCUAUCUAUUUGAAAUAUAUAGGUUUUUGAUGGAUGUCUGAUAAACUCCAUUUGUAGGGUUUAUCUUGUGCUUGAUUUAGGGGAUUUUAUAACCUUUUACCCACAUUUAUCCAUUGAAAUAGCAUAGUUUUAUAACUUCUCCUUUAAUUGUGCUUAAGAGUGAAAACAUGCUUUUUAGGACUUAAAAUUAGCUAAAUCUAAUUCUCCUUGAUUCUAUUAGAUGCCUUGAUAUGUUUGCUAAGUGAUUUCAGAUUUAAGAGGCAAGGAUUGGACCAAGGGAAUAAAGGAAAAGCAUGUAGAAAUGGAGAACUCAUGGAGAAAUAAAGGAAAGGCAAAAGCUGUCAAGCCGACCUCUUCGCACUUAAUUGACCAUAACUUGAGCUACAGAAAUCCAAAUGAUGCGGUUUCAGUUGGGUUGGAAAGCUAACAUCUGGGGCUUCGAAACGAUAUAAGAUUUGCUAUGGUUGAACCGCGCAUGGUAAUGCGUACGAGCAUAGUAUGCGCACGCGCCGUUGCUGCCACCUGGUUCACUUAAAGCAAAACGUGGCCAGCGAAUUCUAAAGCCUUGUGGGCCCAAUCCAACUCAUUUCUGAUGCUAUUUAACCCAAGGAGUGAAGAGGGAAACACAAGUUAGUUACCAUUAGUUUAGUUUAGCUUAGUUUAGUAGUUAGAGUUAGUUUCUAGAGAGAGAAGCUCUCACUUCUCUCUAGGAUUAGGAUUAGGAUUAGGUUUAGUUCUUAGAUCUAGAUUUUAAUUCAUCUUCUUCUACUUCUAUCUUCUCAAUUCCUUGUAGUUACAUUCAUUCUUCUUCCAUUCCUUUGUUGUAAUCUCUUUUAUGUUGUUCUUGUGUUUUGUUGUAGAUCUACUUUUGUUUCUUCUACUUUCUUUCAAUUUAA